ACAGCGAAAGCACCGGUAAUACCCGAUGACCCCGCGGGAUCGCAUGAUCCUGCGGGCAAAGGCUCCGGCGGUCUGGGACCGGUCCAUCUCCUAUCAGCUUGUUGGUGAGGUAACGGCUCACCAAGGCAUCGACGGGUAGCGGGCGUGAGAGCGUGGCCCGCCACAUCGGGACUGAGACACUGCCCGGACACCUACGGGUGGCUGCAGCAACGAAUAUUCCGCAAUGGACGCAAGUCUGACGGAGCGACGCCGCGUGCAGGAAGAAGUCCUUCGGGAUGUAAACUGCUGUCAGGGGUUAGGAAUACCGACCAGCCCCAGAGGAAGCACCGGCUAACUCCGUGCCAGCAGCCGCGGUAAUACGGAGGGUGCAAGCGUUGUUCGGAAUCACUGGGCUUAAAGGGCGUGCAGGCGGAACGGAAAGUGUCGGGUGAAAGCCCACGGCUCAACCGUGGAACGGCCCGGCAAACUAUCGUUCUUGAGGCAGGUAGAGGUGACUGGAACGACUGGUGGAGCGGUGAAAUGCGUAGAUAUCAGUUGGAACGCCGGAGGCGAAAGCGGGUCACUGGGCCUGUCCUGACGCUGAGACGCGAAAGCGUGGGGAGCAAACAGGAUUAGAUACCCUGGUAGUCCACGCCGUAAACGAUGCGCACUAGGUAUGAGAGGCUCUGACGCCGAUCGUGCCGCAGGAAACCUGAUAAGUGCGCCGCCUGGGGAGUACGGCCGCAAGGCUAAAACUCAAAGGAAUUGACGGGGGCUCACACAAGCGGUGGAGCAUGUGGAUUAAUUCGAAGCAACGCGAA
This 800-nucleotide ribosomal RNA is filed under the name uncultured bacterium. RNAcentral describes it as "bacterial SSU rRNA". It matches the Rfam family "Bacterial small subunit ribosomal RNA", at positions 148 to 965 of the family's 1533-position model. The record is from RNAcentral.